This 486-nucleotide ribosomal RNA is filed under the name uncultured bacterium. RNAcentral describes it as "partial 16S ribosomal RNA". It matches the Rfam family "Bacterial small subunit ribosomal RNA", at positions 30 to 507 of the family's 1533-position model. The record is from RNAcentral.
AUUGAACGCUGGCGGCAUGCCUUACACAUGCAAGUCGAACGGCAGCGCGGGUGCUUGCCCCUGGUGGCGAGUGGCGAACGGGUGAGUAAUACAUCGGAACAUGUCCUGUAGUGGGGGAUAGCCCGGCGAAAGCCGGAUUAAUACCGCAUACGAUCUACGGAUGAAAGCGGGGGACCUUCGGGCCUCGCGCUAUAGGGUUGGCCGAUGGCUGAUUAGCUAGUUGGUGGGGUAAAGGCCUACCAAGGCGACGAUCAGUAGCUGGUCUGAGAGGACGACCAGCCACACUGGGACUGAGACACGGCCCAGACUCCUACGGGAGGCAGCAGUGGGGAAUUUUGGACAAUGGGCGAAAGCCUGAUCCAGCAAUGCCGCGUGUGUGAAGAAGGCCUUCGGGUUGUAAAGCACUUUUGUCCGGAAAGAAAUCCUUGGCCCUAAUACGGUCGGGGGAUGACGGUACCGGAAGAAUAAGCACCGGCUAACUACGUG